This 376-nucleotide ribosomal RNA is filed under the name uncultured organism. RNAcentral's name for it is "bacterial SSU rRNA". It matches the Rfam family "Archaeal small subunit ribosomal RNA", at positions 476 to 851 of the family's 1478-position model. The record is from RNAcentral.
CCAGCACCCCGAGUGGUCGGGACGAUUAGUUGGGCCUAAAGCAUCCGUAGCCGGUUUUACAAGUCCUCCGUUAAAUCCAACUGCUUAACAGAUGGGCCGCGGAGGAUACUAUAAGACUAGGAGGCAGGAGAGGCAAGCGGUACUCAGUGGGUAGGGGUAAAAUCCGUUGAUCCAUUGAAGACCACCAGUGGCGAAGGCGGCUUGCCAGAAUGCGCUCGACGGUGAGGGAUGAAAGCUGGGGGAGCAAACCGGAUUAGAUACCCGGGUAGUCCCAGCUGUAAACGAUGCAGACUCGGUGAUGGACUAGCUUUAUGCUAGUCCAGUGCCGCAGGGAAGCCGUUAAGUCUGCCGCCUGGGUAGUACGGUCGCAAGACUG